Molecule: ribosomal RNA, 490 nt
Filed under: uncultured bacterium
Lineage: Bacteria
Description: partial 16S ribosomal RNA
Rfam family: Bacterial small subunit ribosomal RNA
Source: RNAcentral
GAUGAACGCUAGCUACAGGCUUAACACAUGCAAGUCGCAGGGUAACAUGAGGAAAGCUUGCUUUCCUUGAUGACGACUGGCGCACGGGUGAGUAACGCGUAUCCAACCUUCCCAUAACUACGGGAUAACCCGUUGAAAGACGGCCUAAUACCGUAUGACAUCGUUUGCUGACAUCAAAUAACGAUUAAAGGUUUAGCGGUUAUGGAUGGGGAUGCGUCUGAUUAGCUUGUUGGCGGGGUAACGGCCCACCAAGGCGACGAUCAGUAGGGGUUCUGUGAGGAAGGUCCCCCACAUUGGAACUGAGACACGGUCCAAACUCCUACGGGAGGCAGCAGUGAGGAAUAUUGGUCAAUGGGCGAGAGCCUGAACCAGCCAAGUAGCGUGCAGGAUGACGGCCCUAUGGGUUGUAAACUGCUUUUAUGUGGGGAUAAAGUGCGUGACGUGUCAUGCAUUGCAGGUACCACAUGAAUAAGGACCGGCUAAUUCCGUG